UAAGACUUUAAUUGAGUGCUAAGAGAAUGGAUUAACAAAAAAUGGCUUUUUAAAAUCAAUAAUUGAAAUUAUUUUUAUUUGUGCAGAAUCAAUAAUAUUAAUUAGGGACAAGAAGACCCUAUGAAUUUUAAAAUAUAUUUUAAAUAUCUUUUAUUUAAAUAUUUAUUUUUAAUUGGGGCGAUUAAAAAAUAUAAAUAACUUUUUUUAAAUAUCAAAAAUGAACCAUUAAUAAUGGUAAAAUGAGUAAAAUACUCUAGGGAUAACAGCGUAAUAAUUUUUGAUAGUUCUUAUAGACAAAAUAGUUUGCGACCUCGAUGUUGGAUUAGGAUUCUUUUUUAAUGAAGAAG
RNAcentral lists this ribosomal RNA (347 nucleotides) under Amblyomma parkeri. Its description in RNAcentral is "partial 16S ribosomal RNA". Lineage: Eukaryota; Metazoa; Arthropoda; Arachnida; Ixodida; Ixodidae. The record is from RNAcentral.